AACCCAGUGUGAUUCGUCACACUAUCAUUAACUGAAUCCAUAGGUUAAUGAGGCGAACCGGGGGAACUGAAACAUCUAAGUACCCCGAGGAAAAGAAAUCAACCGAGAUUCCCCCAGUAGCGGCGAGCGAACGGGGAGGAGCCCAGAGCCUGAAUCAGCAUGUGUGUUAGUGGAAGCGUCUGGAAAGGCGCGCGAUACAGGGUGACAGCCCCGUACACAAAAGCGCAUGUGCUGUGAGCUCGAUGAGUAGGGCGGGACACGUGGUAUCCUGUCUGAAUAUGGGGGGACCAUCCUCCAAGGCUAAAUACUCCUGACUGACCGAUAGUGAACCAGUACCGUGAGGGAAAGGCGAAAAGAACCCCGGCGAGGGGAGUGAAAAAGAACCUGAAACCGUGUACGUACAAGCAGUGGGAGCACCCUUUGGGUGUGACUGCGUACCUUUUGUAUAAUGGGUCAGCGACUUAUAUUCUGUAGCAAGGUUAACCGAAUAGGGGAGCCGGAGGGAAACCGAGUCUUAACCGGGCGUUAAGUUGCAGGGUAUAGACCCGAAACCCGGUGAUCUAGCCAUGGGCAGGUUGAAGGUUGGGUAACACUAACUGGAGGACCGAACCGACUAAUGUUGAAAAAUUAGCGGAUGACCUGUGGCUGGGGGUGAAAGGCCAAUCAAACCGGGAGAUAGCUGGUUCUCCCCGAAAGCUAUUUAGGUAGCGCCUCGUGAAUUCAUCUCCGGGGGUAGAGCACUGUUUCGGCUAGGGGGCCAUCCCGGCUUACCAACCCGAUGCAAACUGCGAAUACCGGAGAAUGUUAUCACGGGAGACACACGGCGGGUGCUAACGUCCGUCGUGAAGAGGGAAACAACCCAGACCGCCAGCUAAGGUCCCAAAGUCAUGGUUAAGUGGGAAACGAUGUGGGAAGGCCCAGACAGCCAGGAUGUUGGCUUAGAAGCAGCCAUCAUUUAAAGAAAGCGUAAUAGCUCACUGGUCGAGUCGGCCUGCGCGGAAGAUGUAACGGGGCUAAACCAUG
Molecule: ribosomal RNA, 1023 nt
Filed under: Salmonella enterica subsp. enterica serovar Enteritidis
Lineage: Bacteria; Pseudomonadati; Pseudomonadota; Gammaproteobacteria; Enterobacterales; Enterobacteriaceae
Description: partial 23S ribosomal RNA
Rfam family: Bacterial large subunit ribosomal RNA
Source: RNAcentral